This 305-nucleotide ribosomal RNA is filed under the name uncultured bacterium. RNAcentral describes it as "bacterial SSU rRNA". It matches the Rfam family "Bacterial small subunit ribosomal RNA", at positions 337 to 659 of the family's 1533-position model. The record is from RNAcentral.
CCCUACGGGGGGCAGCAGUGGGGAAUAUUGCACAAUGGGGGAAACCCUGAUGCAGCGACGCCGCGUGAGUGAAGAAGUAUUUCGGUAUGUAAAGCUCUAUCAGCAGGGAAGAUAAUGACGGUACCUGACUAAGAAGCCCCGGCUAACUACGUGCCAGCAGCCGCGGUAAUACGUAGGGGGCAAGCGUUAUCCGGAUUUAUUGGGUUUAAAGGGAGCGUAGGCCGCAUGUCAAGCGUGCUGUGAAAUGUCCGGGCUCAACCCGGGCCUUGCAGCGCGAACUGGCGUGCUUGAGUCCGCGGAAAGCA